GGAGGUGUAGCUGAGUGGUAAAGCACAUGCUUAGCAUGCAUGAGGCCCUGGGUUCAAUUGCCAGCACCACCU
Molecule: non-coding RNA, 72 nt
Organism: Urocitellus parryii (Arctic ground squirrel)
Lineage: Eukaryota; Metazoa; Chordata; Mammalia; Rodentia; Sciuridae
Source: the annotation of a RefSeq genome assembly